GCCCUAGUAACGGCGAGCGAAGCGGCAAAAGCUCAAAUUUGAAAUCUGGCGUGUUUUUUACGCGUCCGAGUUGUAAUUUGAAGAUGGUAACUUUGGAGGCGGCCCUUGCAUAUGUUCCUUGGAAUAGGACGUCAUAGAGGGUGAGAACCCCGUAUAUGGCGAGGUGCCCGUCUCUAUGUAAAGUGCUGUCUAAGAGUCGAGUUGUUUGGGAAUGCAGCUCUAAGUGGGUGGUAAAUUCCAUCUAAGGCUAAAUAUAGGCGAGAGACCGAUAGCGAACAAGUACAGUGAUGGAAAGAUGAAAAGAACUUUGAAAAGAGAGUGAAAAAGUACGUGAAAUUGCUGAAAGGGAAGGGCUUGAGAUCAGACUUGGUUUGUAGUGAUCAACUGUCUUUCGGGACUGUGCACUCGCUACUUGCUAGGCCAGCAUCAGUUCUGGCGGUAGGAAAAUAGCGGUUGAAUGUGGCUCUGCUUCGGUGGAGUGUUAUAGCUUCCGUUGAUACUGCCAGCCGGGACUGAGGACCGCGCUUCGUGCUAGGAUGCUGGCGUAAUGAUCUUAAGCCACCCGUCUUGAAACACGGACCAAGGAGUCUAACGUCUAUGCGAGUGUUUGGGUGUAAAACCCGUACGCGUAAUGAAAGUGAACGUAGAGGAGAACCCUUACGGGUGCAUCCUCGACCGAUCCAGAGGUUUCUUCUGAAGGAUUUGAGUAAGAGCAUAGCUGUUGGGACCCGAAAGAUGGUGAACUAUGCCUGAAUAGGGUGAAGCCAGAGGAAACUCUGGUGGAGGCUCGUAGCGGUUCUGACGUGCAAAUCGAUCGUAAAAUUUGGGUAUAGGGGCGAA
RNAcentral lists this ribosomal RNA (840 nucleotides) under Blastobotrys nigripullensis. RNAcentral describes it as "partial large subunit ribosomal RNA". It matches the Rfam family "Eukaryotic large subunit ribosomal RNA", at positions 77 to 927 of the family's 3401-position model. Lineage: Eukaryota; Fungi; Ascomycota; Dipodascomycetes; Dipodascales; Trichomonascaceae. The record is from RNAcentral.